This 1108-nucleotide unclassified non-coding RNA is filed under the name Hevea brasiliensis (rubber tree). The record is from RNAcentral. Lineage: Eukaryota; Viridiplantae; Streptophyta; Magnoliopsida; Malpighiales; Euphorbiaceae.
AGAUAGAUUUGUCAACUGGUUUGGUUUGCAAAUUCCAAACCGAACUGAUCUAAUUGGCUCGAAAAAUAACACCGGUUCUUCUUGACUCAAUCUCAAUAAGGGAAAAGCCUCUGGUUCUAGGGUUUACUUCUCUCCACCUAAACUCUCUCUUUGCCCCCGGAACCCGCGAGAGCUCAUAGCCAUGGCGAGCACCAAGGUCCAGAGGAUUAUGACCCAACCCAUUAACCUGAUUUUCAGGUUUCUUCAAAGUAAAGCCCGCAUUCAGAUAUGGCUAUUUGAGCAGAAGGAUAUGAGGAUUGAAGGCCGAAUCAUUGUAAGUUUUGAUCCAGAUUUUAGUUGUUUUUGGCGUUAUGCCAUUAAAAAUUCUUGUUUAGCGACUCUUGGUUGACAUCAAAGUUAUUAGUAUUUUCCAGUAUGGAUUUCACGGAAUAGAACUUUCAAUUCAUAUGCUUAAUUAAAGAUAAAAAAAAUAAGGUUCUUAGAGGAUGUUUGAACUCUUGGUUUACUUACAUUUGUAAUUGGUUUAGGCUUAUCCAUAUAAUUCUAUUUACAUUGUAGUACUGCUUUAUAGGUCUUCUGAGUUCUUCAUUCACUUGCAUUGGAAGUCAGUGUGCAGAUACCUGCACAGUGUCUUAAUUACUGCUAAUGAAAAGAUUGAGUUUUUUAGCCACAUUUUCAAAAACCCCUCAAAAUAUAUGGGUUUUAUGCUUGAAUUAUAUUUGAAAAUCAGUAAUUCAGUUUAUAAGACCUGCAAUUUAGCUAUAGAAAUGUAAAGGUGAAAGGUCAUCUCUUACUAUGCAGCUCUCUGUCUAAGUUGGGAAAGAUCUGUUAUUUAAAUUCAUAAAGUUGGCUUCAUAUUUGUUAUUUUCAGACAAUAAGUUUCUAAUAAAUGUAUGAAUAACUUAGUAGACUAGCAACUGGCUGGAAUCUUUUAAUAUGGUUUUUUGGUAUAUGUAUUGGAAUUUUUUUUUUAAUAUUAAUUCAAAAUUCAUGUGCUAUAGUUGCUAUAGCUUUCAAAUUUCAUGACUGUAAAAUUUCAGAUUUCUAUUGUUGAGGAUAACAGAUAUAAAUUGGCAUUUGCAGUUUUGAUCAUCAUCAUCAUCAUCAU